GACGAACGCUGGCGGCGUGCUUAACACAUGCAAGUCGAACGGAAAGGCCCUGCUUUUGUGGGGUGCUCGAGUGGCGAACGGGUGAGUAACACGUGAGUAACCUGCCCUUGACUUUGGGAUAACUUCAGGAAACUGGGGCUAAUACCGGAUAGGAGCUCCUGCUGCAUGGUGGGGGUUGGAAAGUUUCGGCGGUUGGGGAUGGACUCGCGGCUUAUCAGCUUGUUGGUGAGGUAGUGGCUUACCAAGGCUUUGACGGGUAGCCGGCCUGAGAGGGUGACCGGCCACAUUGGGCCUGAGAUACGGACCAGACUCCUACGGGCGGCAGCAGUGGGGAAUAUUGCACAAUGGGCGGAAGCCUGAUGCAGCAACGCCGCGUGCGGGAUGACGGCCUUCGGGUUGUAAACCGCUUUCGCCUGUGACGAAGCGUGAGUGACGGUAAUGGGUAAAGAAGCACCGGCUAACUACGUG
RNAcentral lists this ribosomal RNA (468 nucleotides) under uncultured bacterium. RNAcentral describes it as "partial 16S ribosomal RNA". It matches the Rfam family "Bacterial small subunit ribosomal RNA", at positions 28 to 507 of the family's 1533-position model. The record is from RNAcentral.